UACGUAGGGUGCAAGCGUUGUCCGGAAUUAUUGGGCGUAAAGAGCUCGUAGGCGGUUUGUCGCGUCUGCUGUGAAAACUCGGGGCUUAACCCCGGGCCUGCAGUGGGUACGGGCAGACUAGAGUGCGGUAGGGGAGACUGGAAUUCCUGGUGUAGCGGUGAAAUGCGCAGAUAUCAGGAGGAACACCGGUGGCGAAGGCAAUCCCCUGGACCUGUACUGACGCUCAUGCACGAAAGCGUGGGGAGCAAACAGG
RNAcentral lists this ribosomal RNA (253 nucleotides) under uncultured bacterium. Its description in RNAcentral is "partial 16S ribosomal RNA". It matches the Rfam family "Bacterial small subunit ribosomal RNA", at positions 524 to 776 of the family's 1533-position model. The record is from RNAcentral.